CCGGGGGNCACGGGGGGCAGGCCUAACACAUGCAAGUCGAGCGGUAGAGAGAAGCUUGCUUCUCUUGAGAGCGGCGGACGGGUGAGUAAUGCCUAGGAAUCUGCCUGGUAGUGGGGGAUAACGUUCGGAAACGGACGCUAAUACCGCAUACGUCCUACGGGAGAAAGCAGGGGACCUUCGGGCCUUGCGCUAUCAGAUGAGCCUAGGUCGGAUUAGCUAGUUGGUGGGGUAAUGGCUCACCAAGGCGACGAUCCGUAACUGGUCUGAGAGGAUGAUCAGUCACACUGGAACUGAGACACGGUCCAGACUCCUACGGGAGGCAGCAGUGGGGAAUAUUGGACAAUGGGCGAAAGCCUGAUCCAGCCAUGCCGCGUGUGUGAAGAAGGUUCUUCGGAUUGUACAAGCACUUUAACGUUGGGAGGAAGGGUAGUAGAUUAAUACNUCUGCAAUUUUGACGNACCGACAGAANAGCAC
RNAcentral lists this ribosomal RNA (474 nucleotides) under uncultured bacterium. Its description in RNAcentral is "bacterial SSU rRNA". It matches the Rfam family "Bacterial small subunit ribosomal RNA", at positions 28 to 493 of the family's 1533-position model. The record is from RNAcentral.